This 675-nucleotide ribosomal RNA is filed under the name uncultured beta proteobacterium. RNAcentral describes it as "bacterial SSU rRNA". It matches the Rfam family "Bacterial small subunit ribosomal RNA", at positions 406 to 1064 of the family's 1533-position model. Lineage: Bacteria; Pseudomonadati; Pseudomonadota; Betaproteobacteria. The record is from RNAcentral.
UGAAGAAGGCCUUCGGCUUGUAAAGCUCUUUCGGCCGGGNAGNNAUCGCAUGGGUUUAUACCCUGUGUGGAUGACGGUACCGGCAUAAGAAGCACCGGCUAACUACGUGCCAGCAGCCGCGGUAAUACGUAGGGUGCGAGCGUUAAUCGGAAUUACUGGGCGUAAAGCGUGCGCAGGCGGUUUGGUAAGACAGGCGUGAAAUCCCCGGGCUUAACCUGGGAACUGCGUUUGUGACUGCCUCACUAGAGUACGGCAGAGGGGGGUGGAAUUCCACGUGUAGCAGUGAAAUGCGUAGAGAUGUGGAGGAACACCGAUGGCGAAGGCAGCCCCCUGGGCCGAUACUGACGCUCAUGCACGAAAGCGUGGGUAGCAAACAGGAUUAGAUACCCUGGUAGUCCACGCCCUAAACUAUGUCAACUAGGUGUUGGGUGGGUAAAACCAUUUAGUACCGUAGCUAACGCGUGAAGUUGACCGCCUGGGGAGUACGGCCGCAAGGUUAAAACUCAAAGGAAUUGACGGGGACCCGCACAAGCGGUGGAUGAUGUGGAUUAAUUCGCAUGCACACGCGAANAAACCUUACCUACCCUUGCACAUGCCAGGUACUUGCCAGAGAUGGCUUGGUGCCCGAUAAGGGAGCCUGCACACAGGUGCUGCAUGGUCUGUCGUCAGCUNGUU